Molecule: ribosomal RNA, 465 nt
Filed under: Vreelandella stevensii
Lineage: Bacteria; Pseudomonadati; Pseudomonadota; Gammaproteobacteria; Oceanospirillales; Halomonadaceae
Description: partial 16S ribosomal RNA
Rfam family: Bacterial small subunit ribosomal RNA
Source: RNAcentral
CCUACGGGGGGCUGCAGUGGGGAAUAUUGGACAAUGGGGGGAACCCUGAUCCAGCCAUGCCGCGUGUGUGAAGAAGGCCCUCGGGUUGUAAAGCACUUUCAGUGAGGAAGAACGCCUGGUGGUUAAUACCCAUCAGGAAAGACAUCACUCACAGAAGAAGCACCGGCUAACUCCGUGCCAGCAGCCGCGGUAAUACGGAGGGUGCGAGCGUUAAUCGGAAUUACUGGGCGUAAAGCGCGCGUAGGUGGCUUGAUAAGCCGGUUGUGAAAGCCCCGGGCUCAACCUGGGAACGGCAUCCGGAACUGUCAAGCUAGAGUGCAGGAGAGGAAUGUAGAAUUCCCGGUGUAGCGGUGAAAUGCGUAGAGAUCGGGAGGAAUACCAGUGGCGAAGGCGGCCUUCUGGACUGACACUGACACUGAGGUGCGAAAGCGUGGGUAGCAAACAGGAUUAGAUACCCGAGUAGUC